UACUCAUCUGUUGAAUAAUUCUUCGUUAAGGAAGAAUUUGAAGAGAAAAUAUUUCUUACUUUAAAUUUAUACUAAUCUUAUUAUAAUAUCAUAAAAACUAAAAUAAAUUUAUACAUUUUUCUUAUUUCCUUAAUUAUUAAGUUUAUUUAAUUUCUAUUAUUCUAUAUAUUGUAAAAAUUAGUAUUAUUUAAUUAGUUUUAUCUAAGGAACUCGGCAAAUCUUUAUUCAACUGUUUAUCAAAAACAUAGUUUUAAGAAUAUAUAUUUAAAAUGAUUCCUGCCCUAUGAUUUAUUUUUAAAUGGCCGCAGUACUUUAACUGUGCUAAGGUAGCAUAAUAAUUUGGCUUUUAAUUAAAGUCUGGAAUAAAUGGAUUUAUGGAUAUAUACUGUCUUAGGUAAAUUAAAAAAAACUUAUUAAAAAGGUGAAAAUACCUUUAUUUAAUAAUUAGACGAGAAGACCCUAGGAGUUUUUAUUUUGUUGGGGCGACAUUCUUGUAUUGAACCAAGAAAAAUACAAUUCAACCAUUAUAUUAAUAUUAAUUAAACUACCCUAGGGAUAACAGCAUAAUUUUAUUUAAGUUUGUGACCUCGAUGUUGGACUAGG
RNAcentral lists this ribosomal RNA (603 nucleotides) under Greenwoodoconcha nux. RNAcentral's name for it is "partial large subunit ribosomal RNA". The stretch from base 197 to 399 matches the Rfam family "Bacterial large subunit ribosomal RNA", at positions 1700 to 2029 of the family's 2925-position model. Lineage: Eukaryota; Metazoa; Mollusca; Gastropoda; Stylommatophora; Microcystidae. The record is from RNAcentral.